AGUCGAACGAGAUCUUCGGAUCUAGUGGCGCACGGGUGAGUAACGCGUGGAAACCUACCUUUUAGUUCGGGAUAACGUUUGGAAACGGACGCUAAUACCGUAUACGCCCUCCGGGGGAAAGGUCAGCCGCUGAAAGAGGGGCCUGCGUCUGAUUAGCUAGUUGGUAGGGUAAUGGCUUACCAAGGCUACGAUCAGUAGCUGGUCUGAGAGGAUGAUCAGCCACACUGGGACUGAGACACGGCCCAGACUCCUACGGGAGGCAGCAGUGGGGAGUAUUGGACAAUGGAGGCAACUCUGAUCCAGCAAUGCCGCGUGUGUGAUGAAGGCCCUAGGGUUGUAAAGCACUUUCAACGGUGAAGAUGAUGACGGUAGCCGUAGAAGAAGCCCCGCCUAACUUCGUGCCAGCAGCCGCGGUAAUACGAAGGGGGCGAGCGUUAUUCGGAAUUAUUGGGCGUAAAGGGCUCGCAGGCUGCUUGAACAGUUAGACGUGAAGUCCCCGGGCUCAACCUGGGAACUGCGUUUAAUACUAGCAAGCUAGAGAGAUAGAGAGGAAAGUGGAACUCC
Molecule: ribosomal RNA, 564 nt
Filed under: uncultured marine bacterium
Lineage: Bacteria
Description: bacterial SSU rRNA
Rfam family: Bacterial small subunit ribosomal RNA
Source: RNAcentral